Molecule: non-coding RNA, 919 nt
Organism: Penaeus vannamei (Pacific white shrimp)
Lineage: Eukaryota; Metazoa; Arthropoda; Malacostraca; Decapoda; Penaeidae
Source: RefSeq, a predicted model, not a curated record
GCUCGCCGCCAGAGGUCUCCUGCGCAGCCGCACCGCCCGCCAUAUUGUGUUUGCCACUUGUUGUUUUCACAGCUCGCGCGCCGUUUCGCCGUGUUUUGUGCCAGUUUUCUACCAGUUAAUACCAACCAGCAAUGAUGAACGGCGAUAACGACGAUGUUGGAGGCUACCUGAACCCUGGAACAAAGGUAAGACGGCGUGGGUUGGAUGUAGCCGUCCGUCACGGGGCCUCACUUGCCUGACUGUGCCAUCCAUCCGUCCAUCGCUGGUGACGUGUGUGAUAGUCUGUUGUUGCUCGCUGGUCUUGGUGUGAUCGAGUAGUGUUCUCUGCCGGAAGAGAAGUCGUUUGCGAGUCGUUCGUUUUGCGUCUUUUUUUUUUCUUGGAGUGGUGUGAGUUUUGUGUGUGAGAAGGUUGAAUCGAGUGCUCAUGCCGGUUGCGGGCCAGAACUAGCCCCCGUCCAGCCGCUGCCCAUUUCGCAAAGAAAGAGUUGCCGCUGGGAUGAAGAGGCCUGUGUCUGAAGUGUAUUGUGCCUCCCCGUAUUUGGCUGUACCUCAGCUGCAGGCUGUUCAGGCAGCAGUUCCACACCCGCAGGCAGCUGCUGUGCCGUACACACUGCACCAAAGCUUACAGCCUGCAUUCACGACGGCUUUUACUCACGCCCUUGCACCUGUAUCCGUCAGUCCGGCACUCACACACUUCAGCCCCAUGAUGCAUUUCAUGGACCAGGUAGGCCUACCCUUGUCCGGUACCGCCGGAAGUAUUGUAUAAUCUUGGAUGUUACUGUGUUUGUGAGAAUCCAAUAGGCGUCAAUGCUGCACUGCAGGUCUAGUUCAUUAUUAGCCUGUGCGUGUGUGGAUAUGAAUAGGCCUUCAUGAGUAAGUGUACAUAAUUAGCUAAAUGUGGAAUUUUGUUUGUAUACAU